RNAcentral lists this ribosomal RNA (708 nucleotides) under Acinetobacter calcoaceticus. Its description in RNAcentral is "bacterial SSU rRNA". It matches the Rfam family "Bacterial small subunit ribosomal RNA", at positions 115 to 818 of the family's 1533-position model. Lineage: Bacteria; Pseudomonadati; Pseudomonadota; Gammaproteobacteria; Moraxellales; Moraxellaceae. The record is from RNAcentral.
GCUUAGGAAUCUGCCUAUUAGUGGGGGACAACAUUUCGAAAGGAAUGCUAAUACCGCAUACGUCCUACGGGAGAAAGCAGGGGAUCUUCGGACCUUGCGCUAAUAGAUGAGCCUAAGUCGGAUUAGCUAGUUGGUGGGGUAAAGGCCUACCAAGGCGACGAUCUGUAGCGGGUCUGAGAGGAUGAUCCGCCACACUGGGACUGAGACACGGCCCAGACUCCUACGGGAGGCAGCAGUGGGGAAUAUUGGACAAUGGGCGCAAGCCUGAUCCAGCCAUGCCGCGUGUGUGAAGAAGGCCUUAUGGUUGUAAAGCACUUUAAGCGAGGAGGAGGCUACUUUAGAUAAUACCUAGAGAUAGUGGACGUUACUCGCAGAAUAAGCACCGGCUAACUCUGUGCCAGCAGCCGCGGUAAUACAGAGGGUGCAAGCGUUAAUCGGAUUUACUGGGCGUAAAGCGCGCGUAGGCGGCUAAUUAAGUCAAAUGUGAAAUCCCCGAGCUUAACUUGGGAAUUGCAUUCGAUACUGGUUAGCUAGAGUGUGGGAGAGGAUGGUAGAAUUCCAGGUGUAGCGGUGAAAUGCGUAGAGAUCUGGAGGAAUACCGAUGGCGAAGGCAGCCAUCUGGCCUAACACUGACGCUGAGGUGCGAAAGCAUGGGGAGCAAACAGGAUUAGAUACCCUGGUAGUCCAUGCCGUAAACGAUGUCUACUA